Molecule: transfer RNA, 87 nt
Filed under: Myxococcales bacterium
Lineage: Bacteria; Pseudomonadati; Myxococcota; Myxococcia; Myxococcales
Description: tRNA-Ser
Source: RNAcentral
GGAGGGUCCAACCGACGGCCGGCGACGGUACCUGCUUCGAGUACAGGCGAGCACCCGCUCUUGAGGGUUCGAUCCCCUCACCCUCCG